AACGCUGGCGGCGUGCUUAACACAUGCAAGUCGAGCGAUGAAAUUCUCUUCGGAGAAUGGAUUAGCGGCGGACGGGUGAGUAACACGUGGGAAGCUGCCUGCUUGAGGGGGAUAGCGGAGCGAAAGUUCCGAUAAUACCGCGUAAGCCCGAGAGGGGAAAGUGCGGGACCGCAAGGCCGCACGCGAGCAGAUGCGCCCAGAUGGGAUUAGGCAGUUGGGGAGGUAACGGCUCACCAAACCGAUGAUCUCUAGCUGGUUUGAGAGGACAAUCAGCCACAUUGGAAUUGAGAGACGGACCAAACUCCUACGGGAGGCAGCAGUGGGGAAUAUUGCACAAUGGGGGAAACCCUGAUGCAGCCAUGCCGCGUGUGUGAAGAAGGCCUUCGGGUUGUAAAGCACUUUUGCAUUCGAGGAAGACGGCGUAUAAAUAAAUGCGCUAUUUGACGUUAGAGUGUGAAUAAGCACCGGCAAACUCCGUG
RNAcentral lists this ribosomal RNA (479 nucleotides) under uncultured bacterium. Its description in RNAcentral is "bacterial SSU rRNA". It matches the Rfam family "Bacterial small subunit ribosomal RNA", at positions 32 to 507 of the family's 1533-position model. The record is from RNAcentral.